RNAcentral lists this ribosomal RNA (254 nucleotides) under uncultured bacterium. Its description in RNAcentral is "partial 16S ribosomal RNA". It matches the Rfam family "Bacterial small subunit ribosomal RNA", at positions 524 to 776 of the family's 1533-position model. The record is from RNAcentral.
UACGUAGGGUCCGAGCGUUGUCCGGAUUUAUUGGGCGUAAAGAGCUCGUAGGCGGCUCAGUAAGUCAGAUGUGAAAACUCAGGGCUCAACCCGGAGACGCCAUCUGAUACUGCUGUGGCUUGAGUCUGGUAGGGGAUCACGGAAUUCCUGGUGUAGCGGUGAAAUGCGUAGAUAUCUGGAGGAACACCGGUGGCGAAGGCGGCAUCCUGGACCGAUACUGACGCUGAGGAGCGAAAGCCAGGGGAGCAAACGGG